GCCCGGGUGGUGGAAUUGGCAUUCACGGCAGCCUUAAAAGCUGCUGCCCGAAAGGGCAUGUGGGUUCGAGUCCCACCCCGGGCA
This 84-nucleotide transfer RNA is filed under the name Actinomycetota bacterium. RNAcentral describes it as "tRNA-Leu". It matches the Rfam family "tRNA". Rfam says of the family: Transfer RNA (tRNA) molecules are approximately 80 nucleotides in length. Their secondary structure includes four short double-helical elements and three loops (D, anti-codon, and T loops). The record is from RNAcentral. Lineage: Bacteria; Bacillati; Actinomycetota.